Molecule: transfer RNA, 76 nt
Filed under: Heterocephalus glaber (naked mole-rat)
Lineage: Eukaryota; Metazoa; Chordata; Mammalia; Rodentia; Bathyergidae
Rfam family: tRNA
About the family: Transfer RNA (tRNA) molecules are approximately 80 nucleotides in length. Their secondary structure includes four short double-helical elements and three loops (D, anti-codon, and T loops).
Source: Rfam by way of RNAcentral
GAAGAUGUGGCUCAAUAGUAGAGCAUUUGUCUGCCUAGUAUGUAUGAGGCCCUGGGUUCAAUCCCCAGCAUCACCA